This 182-nucleotide ribosomal RNA is filed under the name Buxus citrifolia. RNAcentral describes it as "partial 18S ribosomal RNA". It matches the Rfam family "Eukaryotic small subunit ribosomal RNA", at positions 1652 to 1831 of the family's 1831-position model. Lineage: Eukaryota; Viridiplantae; Streptophyta; Magnoliopsida; Buxales; Buxaceae. The record is from RNAcentral.
CCUGCCCUUUGUACACACCGCCCGUCGCUCUUACCGAUUGAGUGGUCUGGUGAAGUGUUCGGAUCGCGGCCUGCGGGCGGUUCGCCACCGGCGAGUCACGAGAAGUCUGCUAAACCAUAUCAUUUAGAGGAAGGAUAAGUCGUAACAAGGUUUCCGUAGGGGAACUUGCAGAAGGAUCAUUG